Molecule: long non-coding RNA, 1027 nt
Organism: Daphnia pulicaria
Lineage: Eukaryota; Metazoa; Arthropoda; Branchiopoda; Diplostraca; Daphniidae
Exons: 7
Source: RefSeq, a predicted model, not a curated record
UUAACACAAUCCAAUUGAAUAUCGUCGAAAAACCACUAAAGGAAAUUAAAUAAGCGAAACAAUCCAUGGCGGAAUGUUCUGAUCCCCUAGCGUGACCUUUUACAUGUCAAUACAAAAUACGAGGACAGGUAACUUUCCGUUUUGUUGUGAAGACGAAAAAGACUUGCAAGGUAUAGCAGAGUUUUCAGUUAUAAAAUCUGUAAUUUAAGUGAAUUGCAGCGCCUCUUCAUCUUCUAGUAAAGGAGCUAUGGGAGAUGAAAGAAGAAGUUAACAAUCAGAAAUCUUGAAUCCGAAUUUUCUUCCAUCGGUAAUCACCAGCAGUUGCCUUGAUUUCCUUGAGCGGAAACCAGAGAACAUUGAUGACAUGCAGUCUACAUUUCGUGCUAAAUUUGAGAUCGGAUAAAAUUCGUUGAUCAUGCGUGUUAUUUAGCCACCCAGCCACCCUGGUAUAAGUCGACACCAAGUUCAAGGUACGUCUUCUAAUUUUUUACAACUGAUUAUGUGGAGGUUAUAGUGAGCAGAAAAUUGAAUCGGUAAACUCAACUUUAUCAAAGAAGUAACUGAAAAGUCCCCUCCCAUUUUCUGGUGGCUCCAGUCGGUUUUCCGUCACUCGGACCAUCGGAUCAGCGACGCCGCCUUUGAGUGGCCCAGACAACCCCUUUGGGUUGCCUUGCCAACGAGGCUAAAGCGGAAAUUAUUUUGCCACAUCCAGAUGACUCGAAGGUGCCGACCGUUGAGGGAAUUCCACGUCGACGACGUUGCUGAGUCACAACUUGAAACGGUCAACCAAAUGAGCAAAGGUCGCAUGGCAUAGAGAAAGCGAAUUGGUUUCAUCAAUUCUACUGAGGAAUUGAGAGCCAGAAGAGCCCACGACAAGGUCGUCUUAUUAAUUUCAACAAGAUUUGGCCAUUGGAAGUCUAUCAAGAAGAAAAUUGGCAAAUUAAACUCAACGUUAUCGAAGAGAUAGCUGAAAAGUCCCCGCCCAUUCGCCGGCGGCUCCAGUCGGUUUUCCGUCACUCGGACCAUU